This 797-nucleotide transfer RNA is filed under the name uncultured cyanobacterium. RNAcentral describes it as "partial contains 16S ribosomal RNA, 16S-23S ribosomal RNA intergenic spacer, and 23S ribosomal RNA". The stretch from base 262 to 334 matches the Rfam family "tRNA". Lineage: Bacteria; Bacillati; Cyanobacteriota. The record is from RNAcentral.
CAGGGAGACAAAAACUGAUCUUGAUGUCUAAGUGAAUUUUUCUUAGGCCAAGAUCCUGUCACCUUAGGUCGAUCGGUACCUCAGAUUAAAUACAUUAAAGACUUUAAUUUAUUGAAGUUUUUGGAUUUAAUUUUAGUUCCUAAACUUGUCUAGGUCACACCCCGCAAGGGUUACUCCUGGGCCAUUAGCUCAGGUGGUUAGAGCGCACCCCUGAUAAGGGUGAGGUCCCUGGUUCAAGUCCAGGAUGGCCCAUUCGGUGUUGGGGGUAUAGCUCAGUUGGUAGAGCGCCUGCUUUGCAAGCAGGAUGUCAGCGGUUCGAGUCCGCUUACCUCCACUGGCCGACCCCUUUUCACGAGAAGAAAAUAGAGGGCCUUUGUGUUUGUUGUGAUUUAGAUUAUGUCCACUGAAUAUUUAGAACCUAGCCUCCUUUCAUUCCAAGUUUGAUUGCUUCAACAAGGUUGUAAGGAUGCUGGGCUCACUCCAUUCAUUAAAUGAAUAGAGAGAACCUCAGUAGAACCUUGAAAACUGCAUAGUGAGUCUGGAAAAAAUAAAGCAUCUCAUAGAUGCAUUAUUCCUUAUUUAGGGUUUAACACUCUAAUUAAAUAGGAAUAAUGUUAAUUCUUGAGCAAGAGCUGAGACUCUAAAAACCGAUCUUUAUAUGAUAAAAGUCAUAUAGAGUCUGAUUUUUAGUUAACUUAUUUUGUUUGUUUAUGAGAAAUCAUUGAUAGACAAUUUCAAGCAAAUAACUAUCAAGAAUACGCUAUCAACGGCGAAUUAAGGUUUUUAGAGGUUAAUUU